AGAUUGAACGCUGGCGGCAGGCUUAACACAUGCAAGUCGAGCGGUAGCACAGGGGAGCUUGCUCCCUGGGUGACGAGCGGCGGACGGGUGAGUAAUGUCUGGGAAACUGCCUGAUGGAGGGGGAUAACUACUGGAAACGGUAGCUAAUACCGCAUAACGUCGCAAGACCAAAGAGGGGGACCUUCGGGCCUCUUGCCAUCAGAUGUGCCCAGAUGGGAUUAGCUAGUAGGUGGGGUAAUGGCUCACCUAGGCGACGAUCCCUAGCUGGUCUGAGAGGAUGACCAGCCACACUGGAACUGAGACACGGUCCAGACUCCUACGGGAGGCAGCAGUGGGGAAUAUUGCACAAUGGGCGCAAGCCUGAUGCAGCCAUGCCGCGUGUGUGAAGAAGGCCUUCGGGUUGUAAAGCACUUUCAGCGAGGAGGAAGGUGGUGAGCUUAAUACGCUCAUC
This 451-nucleotide ribosomal RNA is filed under the name uncultured bacterium. Its description in RNAcentral is "bacterial SSU rRNA". It matches the Rfam family "Bacterial small subunit ribosomal RNA", at positions 26 to 473 of the family's 1533-position model. The record is from RNAcentral.